CAGUAGCCGCGGUAAUACGGAGGAUCCAAGCGUUAUCCGGAAUCAUUGGGUUUAAAGGGUCCGUAGGCGGUCUUGUAAGUCAGUGGUGAAAGCCCAUCGCUCAACGGUGGAACGGCCAUUGAUACUGCAGGACUUGAAUUAUUGGGAAGUAACUAGAAUAUGUAGUGUAGCGGUGAAAUGCUUAGAGAUUACAUGGAAUACCAAUUGCGAAGGCAGGUUACUACCAAUUGAUUGACACUGAUGGACGAAAGCGUGGGUAGCGAACAGGAUUAGAUACCCCUGUAGUCCCUGUCUCUUAUAC
Molecule: ribosomal RNA, 301 nt
Filed under: uncultured bacterium
Lineage: Bacteria
Description: partial 16S ribosomal RNA
Rfam family: Bacterial small subunit ribosomal RNA
Source: RNAcentral